AAGGACUGGUGGAGUGCUUAGAAGUGAGAAUGCCGGUAUGAGUAGCGAAAGACGGGUGAGAAUCCCGUCCACCGAAUGCCUAAGGUUUCCUGAGGAAGGCUCGUCCGCUCAGGGUUAGUCAGGACCUAAGCCGAGGCCGACAGGCGUAGGCGAUGGACAACAGGUUGAUAUUCCUGUACCACCUCUUUAUCGUUUGAGCAAUGGAGGGACGCAGAAGGAUAGAAGAAGCGUGCGAUUGGUUGUGCACGUCCAAGCAGUUAGGCUGAUAAGUAGGCAAAUCCGCUUAUCGUAAAGGCUGAGCUGUGAUGGGGAAGCUCCUUAUGGAGCGAAGUCUUUGAUUCCCCGCUGCCAAGAAAAGCUUCUAGCGAGAUAAAAGGUGCCUGUACCGCAAACCGACACAGGUAGGCGAGGAGAGAAUCCUAAGGUGUGCGAGAGAACUCUGGUUAAGGAACUCGGCAAAAUGACCCCGUAACUUCGGGAGAAGGGGUGCUUUCUUAACGGAAAGCCGCAGUGAAUAGGCCCAAGCGACUGUUUAGCAAAAACACAGCUCUCUGCGAAGCCGUAAGGCGAAGUAUAGGGGGUGACACCUGCCCGGUGCUGGAAGGUUAAGGAGAGGGGUUAGCGUAAGCGAAGCUCUGAACUGAAGCCCCAGUAAACGGCGGCCGUAACUAUAACGGUCCUAAGGUAGCGAAAUUCCUUGUCGGGUAAGUUCCGACCCGCACGAAAGGUGUAACGAUUUGGGCACUGUCUCAACCAGAGACUCGGUGAAAUUAUAGUACCUGUGAAGAUGCAGGUUACCCGCGACAGGACGGAAAGACCCCGUGGAGCUUUACUGUAGCCUGAUAUUGAAUUUUGGUACAGUUUGUACAGGAUAGGCGGGAGCCAUUGAAACCGGAGCGCUAGCUUCGGUGGAGGCGCUGGUGGGAUACCGCCCUGACUGUAUUGAAAUUCUAACCUACGGGUCUUAUCGACCCGGGAGACAGUGUCAGGUGGGCAGUUUGACUGGGGCGGUCGCCUCCUAAAGUGUAACGGAGGCGCCCAAAGGUUCCCUCAGAAUGGUUGGAAAUCAUUCGUAGAGUGCAAAGGCAUAAGGGAGCUUGACUGCGAGACCUACAAGUCGAGCAGGGACGAAAGUCGGGCUUAGUGAUCCGGUGGUUCCGCAUGGAAGGGCCAUCGCUCAACGGAUAAAAGCUACCCCGGGGAUAACAGGCUUAUCUCCCCCAAGAGUCCACAUCGACGGGGAGGUUUGGCACCUCGAUGUCGGCUCAUCGCAUCCUGGGGCUGUAGUCGGUCCCAAGGGUUGGGCUGUUCGCCCAUUAAAGCGGUACGCGAGCUGGGUUCAGAACGUCGUGAGACAGUUCGGUCCCUAUCCGUCGUGGGCGUAGGAAAUUUGAGAGGAGCUGUCCUUAGUACGAGAGGACCGGGAUGGACGCACCGCUGGUGUACCAGUUGUUCUGCCAAGGGCAUAGCUGGGUAGCUAUGUGCGGAAGGGAUAAGUGCUGAAAGCAUCUAAGCAUGAAGCCCCCCUCAAGAUGAGAUUUCCCAUAGCGUAAGCUAGUAAGAUCCCUGAAAGAUGAUCAGGUUGAUAGGUUCGAGGUGGAAGCAUGGUGACAUGUGGAGCUGACGAAUACUAAUAGAUCGAGGACUUAACCAUAUAA
Molecule: ribosomal RNA, 1658 nt
Filed under: Bacillus thuringiensis
Lineage: Bacteria; Bacillati; Bacillota; Bacilli; Caryophanales; Bacillaceae
Also listed under: 2 other names
Description: partial 23S ribosomal RNA
Rfam family: Bacterial large subunit ribosomal RNA
Source: RNAcentral